GACGAACGCUGGCGGCGUGCCUAAUACAUGCAAGUUGAGCGCUGAAGGUUGGUACUUGUACCAACUGGAUGAGCAGCGAACGGGUGAGUAACGCGUGGGGAAUCUGCCUUUGAGCGGGGGACAACAUUUGGAAACGAAUGCUAAUACCGCAUAAAAACUUUAAACACAAGUUUAAAGUUUGAAAGAUGCAAUUGCAUCACUCAAAGAUGAUCCCGCGUUGUAUUAGCUAGUUGGUGAGGUAAAGGCUCACCAAGGCGAUGAUACAUAGCCGACCUGAGAGGGUGAUCGGCCACAUUGGGACUGAGACACGGCCCAAACUCCUACGGGAGGCAGCAGUAGGGAAUCUUCGGCAAUGGACGAAAGUCUGACCGAGCAACGCCGCGUGAGUGAAGAAGGUUUUCGGAUCGUAAAACUCUGUUGGUAGAGAAGAACGUUGGUGAGAGUGGAAAGCUCAUCAAGUGACGGUAACUACCCAGAAAGGGACGGCUAACUACGUG
This 497-nucleotide ribosomal RNA is filed under the name uncultured bacterium. Its description in RNAcentral is "partial 16S ribosomal RNA". It matches the Rfam family "Bacterial small subunit ribosomal RNA", at positions 28 to 507 of the family's 1533-position model. The record is from RNAcentral.